GGGGCCGUGGCGAAAUAGGCAGACGCAACGGACUUAAAAUCCGUUGGGAGCGAUCCCGUGGGGGUUCAAGUCCCCCCGGCCCCACCA
Molecule: transfer RNA, 87 nt
Filed under: Dielma fastidiosa
Lineage: Bacteria; Bacillati; Bacillota; Erysipelotrichia; Erysipelotrichales; Erysipelotrichaceae
Description: tRNA-Leu
Rfam family: tRNA
About the family: Transfer RNA (tRNA) molecules are approximately 80 nucleotides in length. Their secondary structure includes four short double-helical elements and three loops (D, anti-codon, and T loops).
Source: RNAcentral